This is a long non-coding RNA of Monodelphis domestica (gray short-tailed opossum), 986 nucleotides long. RefSeq lists it as uncharacterized. The record is from RefSeq and is a predicted model, not a curated record. NCBI's taxonomy places the organism in Eukaryota, Metazoa, Chordata, Mammalia, Didelphimorphia, Didelphidae.
UAGUAUUCAAUGUAAAGGACACUUAUUUCUAACCUACCCAUAAUCCUACUCUCUGUGUCUCCAAGGAGUCCUAGCUCCAACAUUCUUUUUCAACUGCAUUAACAUUAAAGAAUCCUUAAUAUAAAGUAGGGAGUUUUUUAAGACCCUAGGAUCUCUUCCCUUCCCUUUUCCUCUAUAUCCUCAAAAGCAAGAUUCAUGGCUCAUUUGUCUCCAAAUUUGGAGAAUUUGCUUCAUGUUUUGAGAGAAGAUGUCAUAUUUUCCAUGGACAGCUAGUCCGUUCUCUCUUUUUAUGCCCAUCUUGCCAAUAACUACUGUAGUAAAGUCCCCUAAAUACCAUCUGGUCUUCCAUCCUGGGGCAGGAAGUCCCCAGGAGGAUCAAAGAUUCUCAGGGAAGCUGGUCUCCAAACACAAGAGCAGACAGAGUCCCUCCCAAGUGUAAAUCUCUACAAACUAUCCCUACCUCUAGGCCAAACAUCUCAUUAAAACUUACCCACCUGAUGGAAAACUGAUCAGAGAGAUGGAGAGAAGUGUUUUCUUAGAACUUCCAAUCCUCCUGGUCAGCCUGAGAAGAAAGGGAAACCAAAGGCCUAAUCACCGAAUAGCAAGGGUUUCAACUACAGAGCAAGGAUGUUCACAUCAGUGUCAGUGCUGAAGCAAGAGAAGCGACUGAACAAUCAGUCAAUAAACAUGAAGCACCCACUAUGAGUCGGGUGCAGUGCUGAGCAACAAACCAACAAGAAUACCAAGGUCUGGUGCCUCUCGACUGCAGGGUAAUGGCAAGCAGGACAGGCAAGUGGGAAGCUCAGAUGUAGGAACAAGGAGGAGAAGCUUUCUCAGGACAUCAGAUGUUGCCACCUGAACAUUGCCUAGCAGGAGCUCACUGCUACCCAUGGUCCAACAGUUCUCAACUAAGAUCACUGAGGGACAAACUCUUUGGCAUGAUGAGGUUUAUAUUAAAUACAAUUAAAAUUUUAUAAAAUAUUAAA